This 1502-nucleotide ribosomal RNA is filed under the name Enterobacter cancerogenus ATCC 35316. RNAcentral describes it as "bacterial LSU rRNA". It matches the Rfam family "Bacterial large subunit ribosomal RNA", at positions 963 to 2447 of the family's 2925-position model. The record is from RNAcentral. Lineage: Bacteria; Pseudomonadati; Pseudomonadota; Gammaproteobacteria; Enterobacterales; Enterobacteriaceae.
AACAGAAUGUUAUCACGGGAGACACACGGCGGGUGCUAACGUCCGUCGUGAAGAGGGAAACAACCCAGACCGCCAGCUAAGGUCCCAAAGUCAUGGUUAAGUGGGAAACGAUGUGGGAAGGCACAGACAGCCAGGAUGUUGGCUUAGAAGCAGCCAUCAUUUAAAGAAAGCGUAAUAGCUCACUGGUCGAGUCGGCCUGCGCGGAAGAUGUAACGGGGCUAAACCAUGCACCGAAGCUGCGGCAGCAACACUAUGUGUUGUUGGGUAGGGGAGCGUUCUGUAAGCCGUUGAAGGUGUGCUGUGAGGCAUGCUGGAGGUAUCAGAAGUGCGAAUGCUGACAUAAGUAACGAUAAAGCGGGUGAAAAGCCCGCUCGCCGGAAGACCAAGGGUUCCUGUCCAACGUUAAUCGGGGCAGGGUGAGUCGACCCCUAAGGCGAGGCCGAAAGGCGUAGUCGAUGGGAAACAGGUUAAUAUUCCUGUACUUGGUGUUACUGCGAAGGGGGGACGGAGAAGGCUAUGUUAGCCGGGCGACGGUUGUCCCGGUUUAAGCAUGUAGGCGGAGGUUCCAGGUAAAUCCGGUACCUUUUAACGCUGAGGUGUGAUGACGAGGCACUACGGUGCUGAAGUAACAAAUGCCCUGCUUCCAGGAAAAGCCUCUAAGCAUCAGGUAACACGAAAUCGUACCCCAAACCGACACAGGUGGUCAGGUAGAGAAUACCAAGGCGCUUGAGAGAACUCGGGUGAAGGAACUAGGCAAAAUGGUGCCGUAACUUCGGGAGAAGGCACGCUGAUAUGUAGGUGAAGCCCCUGCGGGUGGAGCUGAAAUCAGUCGAAGAUACCAGCUGGCUGCAACUGUUUAUUAAAAACACAGCACUGUGCAAACACGAAAGUGGACGUAUACGGUGUGACGCCUGCCCGGUGCCGGAAGGUUAAUUGAUGGGGUUAGCGGCAACGCGAAGCUCUUGAUCGAAGCCCCGGUAAACGGCGGCCGUAACUAUAACGGUCCUAAGGUAGCGAAAUUCCUUGUCGGGUAAGUUCCGACCUGCACGAAUGGCGUAAUGAUGGCCAGGCUGUCUCCACCCGAGACUCAGUGAAAUUGAACUCGCUGUGAAGAUGCAGUGUACCCGCGGCAAGACGGAAAGACCCCGUGAACCUUUACUAUAGCUUGACACUGAACACUGGUCCUUGAUGUGUAGGAUAGGUGGGAGGCUUUGAAGCGUGGACGCCAGUCUGCGUGGAGCCAUCCUUGAAAUACCACCCUUUAAUGGCUGGUGUUCUAACGUUGACCCGUAAUCCGGGUUGCGGACAGUGUCUGGUGGGUAGUUUGACUGGGGCGGUCUCCUCCCAAAGAGUAACGGAGGAGCACGAAGGUUAGCUAAUCCUGGUCGGACAUCAGGAGGUUAGUGCAAUGGCAUAAGCUAGCUUGACUGCGAGAGUGACGGCUCGAGCAGGUGCGAAAGCAGGUCAUAGUGAUCCGGUGGUUCUGAAUGGAAGGGCCAUCG